UACGGAGGGAGCAAGCGUUACUCGGAAUUAUUGGGCGUAAAGGGCGCGUAGGCGAUCUGAAAAGUUCUGUGUGAAAGCCCACAUGUUAACUGUGGAAGUGCACAGAAAACUGUUGGAUUUGAGUUCAGGAGAGGAAGGCAGAAUUCCCGGUGUAGCGGUGAAAUGCGUAGAGAUCGGGAGGAAUACCAGUGGCGAAGGCGGCCUUCUGGACUGACACUGACGCUGAGGCGCGAAAGCCAGGGGAGCAAACAGG
Molecule: ribosomal RNA, 253 nt
Filed under: uncultured bacterium
Lineage: Bacteria
Description: partial 16S ribosomal RNA
Rfam family: Bacterial small subunit ribosomal RNA
Source: RNAcentral